UACGUAGGGUGCAAGCGUUAAUCGGAAUUACUGGGCGUAAAGCGUGCGCAGGCGGUUUUGUAAGACCGAGGUGAAAUCCCCGGGCUCAACCUGGGAACUGCCUUUGUGACUGCAAGGCUUGAGUGCGGCAGAGGGGGAUGGAAUUCCGCGUGUAGCAGUGAAAUGCGUAGAUAUGCGGAGGAACACCGAUGGCGAAGGCAAUCCCCUGGGCCUGCACUGACGCUCAUGCACUAAAGCGUGGGGAGCAAACAGG
RNAcentral lists this ribosomal RNA (253 nucleotides) under uncultured bacterium. RNAcentral's name for it is "partial 16S ribosomal RNA". It matches the Rfam family "Bacterial small subunit ribosomal RNA", at positions 524 to 776 of the family's 1533-position model. The record is from RNAcentral.